AGUGAACGCUGGCGGUAGGCCUAACACGUGCAAGUCGAACGGCAGCACAGUAAGAGCUUGCUCUUACGGGUGGCGAGUGGCGGACGGGUGAGGAAUACAUCGGAAUCUACUUUUUCGUGGGGGAUAACGUAGGGAAACUUACGCUAAUACCGCAUACGACCUACGGGUGAAAGCAGGGGAUCUUCGGACCUUGCGCGAUUGAAUGAGCCGAUGUCGGAUUAGCUAGUUGGCGGGGUAAAGGCCCACCAAGGCGACGAUCCGUAGCUGGUCUGAGAGGAUGAUCAGCCACACUGGAACUGAGACGCGGUCCAGACUCCUACGGGAGGCAGCAGUGGGGAAUAUUGGACAAUGGGCGCAAGCCUGAUCCAGCCAUACCGCGUGGGUGAAGAAGGCCUUCGGGUUGUAAAGCCCUUUUGUUGGGAAAGAAAAGCAGCAGGUUAAUACCACGCUGUUCUGACGGUACCCAAAGAAUAAGCACCGGCUAACUUCGU
This 491-nucleotide ribosomal RNA is filed under the name uncultured bacterium. RNAcentral describes it as "partial 16S ribosomal RNA". It matches the Rfam family "Bacterial small subunit ribosomal RNA", at positions 29 to 506 of the family's 1533-position model. The record is from RNAcentral.